This 378-nucleotide ribosomal RNA is filed under the name uncultured Streptococcus sp. RNAcentral describes it as "bacterial SSU rRNA". It matches the Rfam family "Bacterial small subunit ribosomal RNA", at positions 1002 to 1382 of the family's 1533-position model. Lineage: Bacteria; Bacillati; Bacillota; Bacilli; Lactobacillales; Streptococcaceae. The record is from RNAcentral.
AGAGAUAGAAAGUUACUUCGGUACAUCGGUGACAGGUGGUGCAUGGUUGUCGUCAGCUCGUGUCGUGAGAUGUUGGGUUAAGUCCCGCAACGAGCGCAACCCCUAUUGUUAGUUGCCAUCAUUCAGUUGGGCACUCUAGCGAGACUGCCGGUAAUAAACCGGAGGAAGGUGGGGAUGACGUCAAAUCAUCAUGCCCCUUAUGACCUGGGCUACACACGUGCUACAAUGGUUGGUACAACGAGUUGCGAGUCGGUGACGGCGAGCUAAUCUCUUAAAGCCAAUCUCAGUUCGGAUUGUAGGCUGCAACUCGCCUACAUGAAGUCGGAAUCGCUAGUAAUCGCGGAUCAGCACGCCGCGGUGAAUACGUUCUCGGGGUUU